GGUCAUAGCUCAAUGGUAGAGGACAUGCUUUGCAUGCAGGAUGUCCCAGGUUAAAUCCCUGGCAUCUCCA
RNAcentral lists this transfer RNA (70 nucleotides) under Podarcis lilfordi (Lilford's wall lizard). RNAcentral describes it as "tRNA.Ala". The stretch from base 6 to 62 matches the Rfam family "tRNA", at positions 8 to 63 of the family's 71-position model. From Rfam's summary of the family: Transfer RNA (tRNA) molecules are approximately 80 nucleotides in length. Their secondary structure includes four short double-helical elements and three loops (D, anti-codon, and T loops). Further hydrogen bonds mediate the characteristic L-shaped molecular structure. tRNAs have two regions of fundamental functional importance: the anti-codon, which is responsible for specific mRNA codon recognition, and the 3' end, to which the tRNAs corresponding amino acid is attached (by aminoacyl-tRNA synthetases). tRNAs cope with the degeneracy of the genetic code in two manners: having more than one tRNA (with a specific anti-codon) for a particular amino acid; and 'wobble' base-pairing, i.e. permitting non-standard base-pairing at the 3rd anti-codon position. The record is from RNAcentral. Lineage: Eukaryota; Metazoa; Chordata; Lepidosauria; Squamata; Lacertidae.